This 75-nucleotide small RNA is filed under the name Pedobacter psychrophilus. RNAcentral describes it as "Pedobacter sp. CCM 8644 Flavo-1 RNA". It matches the Rfam family "Flavo-1 RNA". Lineage: Bacteria; Pseudomonadati; Bacteroidota; Sphingobacteriia; Sphingobacteriales; Sphingobacteriaceae. The record is from Rfam by way of RNAcentral.
GUUUUGCGUUAGGGAUAGCAGCGAUAUCCUUUUUUAAUUUUCAUAAAAAAGAUUUAGCGGAUAGCCCGUUAAAAC